Camellia sinensis is the source of this 743-nucleotide non-coding RNA. The record is from RefSeq and is a predicted model, not a curated record. NCBI's taxonomy places the organism in Eukaryota, Viridiplantae, Streptophyta, Magnoliopsida, Ericales, Theaceae.
CAUACUUGAUGCCUCCAUUGACUGGUGUCCGCACUCCCACGAGGAGGUCUGCUGGCAUGCCAUCAUUGAGCCGGGCCCGGGCUAUAGAUAUUCCUUCGACCAGCAGGGCCCGCACAUCGAGAGGCGGAGCUGGACUAGUCCCCCCGAUUCCCCCGACUUAUCAUCAGGUCGGAUGGCCAUAUAUCCCGACUGAGUUGACAGGAUGGCGAUACGGGACUUCCUACCCGAUUCCGAUAGAGCCAUCCGGGGGGACUGAGUCAGUGAUCCUGACUCACCACCGCCUACCAGGGAGUAUACGGAGGGGUUACUCGGGUUAGUAGGCUCACUCGAGGGCGUGGUCCUGCGGAGAGAGACGCAGUUGUCCAUCGUCGGCGUCCCGAUGCCUCCGCUACAUACUGGGCCAUAGGCCGGGCCAUCCAGGCCUUCUCGGAGAGCUGGGAGAGGGGGUUCGACUCACGGCCAAGGCAGAUGCAGAGCACCUGUCAUAGAGGAGGAGUCCAGCGAGGAGGAGGAGUCUGUACAUCCCCAGUCAGAGACAUCCGCUGGCAGAGAUGAUGACUCUGGUUCCGGUUCGGGUAGUGGAGAUGAUGCCGAGGAGGAUUCUAAGGGCGGCGACUCCGAUUCCGAUGAUGAUGAUGGUACAGAGGUUGUUCCGCAGAAGAGGACGAAGAGGGCUUCUUACUCCUGUGCUUGAUAGUUGUUCCUGCUUUAUUUGCCUUUUUUUUACUAGUAGUUGUAGCACA